CUGGCUUCCUGGUACCAAAACAAAAAACAAAAGCCCCACUUCUUAAUCUCAUCACCUGAGGAGUUAGGAUUGGAACAUAUGGAUUUUGGAGGAACACAGACCUAAAGACUAUAGCAGGAUAUAGUGAGUCCCACCUCCUCUGGGGCCCACUUAGUUGGAGGGAGAGUUUUAAAAGGGGAGGCAUCCCCAAGAACAUCUCAUUCAACCUUCUCAUCUGAGAAGCUGAGGCUCUGAGUGGUUUUUCCAGGGCCCCAGAGCAAAUACAAGCAUCUAUAAAAAUGACACCUCAGCUGAAUACAGCUCCAAGCUUUCAGCCAAAAUGUUCCUUUGCUUCUCUUAGAUGUCCUGUGUACCUGAAACCCAACAUAUAUCCCUUUCCUCGCUUCUUGGUGGUGGAGAGCCUACCUGUGUCUUUGCUGGCCUCAUUCUGUCUACUCCUCAUCCAUCUAGGUUAGGGUUCAGCUGGGUGACCAGAGGGCUCUACUAGCAAUAAAAACCUUUCUUAAAGAGUCACUAAGCAGUAAACAAGUACUUCCUGUGGGUUACCUACCAAGGCACAAAAACAAUGAGGACUACACUCAACCAGAACACCCAGAGGACAUAAGUAGUUUAUCACAACUCCUGCCUUUCUCUCAACCUAACCACAGCUAACAAAUGGCCAGGUCCACCUCAUUCUUAUCCCUUCCCUGACUCAGAAGGUCUUGGCAAGGGAACUUGUAAAGUAUACCUGGGAAGUUCUAGACAGUAAGUCCAGGGUACUGGUCCUGUCUCAGUAUGUGCCCUAGACCAGGCCCUUCUUGAAAGGAAGUGACCACAACACUCAGAGCAACCAAGAGAUCUUUAUUGCAGCAGUACAACAGAGGAGAAGAGAGAGAAAGAGAAGAGAGAGAGAGAGAGCAAGAGAGAGACAGAGAAAGCAAGAGAGAUAGCAAGAGAGAGAGGGGCCCAGCAGGAAGGAGUUUUUAUAGCCCAAAUCUAAUGAGGUCUCUGGGUCUGCAAGCUGCCUUGUUGGCACAAGGGGGGUUACGUGUUCGGCCUUGAGCAGGGGGUUGAGUGUUCAGCCUUGAGUGGGGGCUUGGGCGUUUGGGCUUGAAGCAAAUAGUUGAUAAAGAACCAGACAAAGGGUUUGAGAGGCCAGGUCAUCCUGCAGCUAACUUUGUUUGGCAUGCCCUGCAGACAUCUUACUCAGCCUGUCCUGCACCUAACACUUCUCAUAAGUCUUGGAAAUACCCCUCCUUCCAACCAGCGGUGAAAUAAAGAAAUUAGAUUUAUCUUUCUUUUUUUUUUCCAUCAGGGGAUUGAACCCAGAGCGCUUAACCCCUGAGACACAUCCCCAGCCUUUGUUAUUUUUUAUAAUGAGACAGUAUCUUGCUAAA
This 1376-nucleotide long non-coding RNA is filed under the name Marmota monax (woodchuck). Lineage: Eukaryota; Metazoa; Chordata; Mammalia; Rodentia; Sciuridae. The record is from RNAcentral.